This 30-nucleotide non-coding RNA is filed under the name Mus musculus (house mouse). Lineage: Eukaryota; Metazoa; Chordata; Mammalia; Rodentia; Muridae. The record is from RNAcentral.
UGUGAAAAGAUGAUGCGCUUGACAGGUUUG